GAUGAACGCUAGCUACAGGCUUAACACAUGCAAGUCGAGGGGCAGCAGGAACAAAGCUUGCUUUGUUUGCUGGCGACCGGCGCACGGGUGAGUAACGCGUAUCCGACCUACCCGAUAACACGGGCACAGCCGCUCGAAAGAGUGAUUGAUUCCCGAUAUGUCUUUAGGAGCAGAUUUAAAGAUGAAAGAUUCAUCGGUUAUGGAUGGGGAUGCGUAAGAUUAGGUAGUAGGCGGGGUAACGGCCCACCUAGCCGACGAUCUUUAGGGGUUCUGAGAGGAAGGUCCCCCCACACUGGUACUGAGACACGGACCAGACUCCUACGGGAGGCAGGCAGUGAGGAAUAGUUGGUU
Molecule: ribosomal RNA, 351 nt
Filed under: uncultured bacterium
Lineage: Bacteria
Description: bacterial SSU rRNA
Rfam family: Bacterial small subunit ribosomal RNA
Source: RNAcentral